RNAcentral lists this ribosomal RNA (1296 nucleotides) under metagenome. RNAcentral's name for it is "bacterial SSU rRNA". It matches the Rfam family "Bacterial small subunit ribosomal RNA", at positions 187 to 1498 of the family's 1533-position model. The record is from RNAcentral.
CGCAUGAAAGAGAAAGGAAAGUUUUAACGCUUAAGGAGGGACUUAUGUCUGAUUAGCUUGUUGGUAAGGUAACGGCUUACCAAGGCUUUGAUCAGUAGCUGGUCUGAGAAGAUGAACAGCCACAUUGGGACUGAGAUACGGCCCAGACUCCUACGGGAGGCAGCAGUGAGGAAUAUUGCGCAAUGGGGGAAACCCUGACGCAGCGACGCCAUGUGAGUGACGAAGUCUUUAGGGAUGUAAAGCUCUGUCAAGAGGGACGAUUAUGACGGUACCUCUAAAGGAAGCCCCGGCUAAUUACGUGCCAGCAGCCGCGGUAAUACGUAAGGGGCAAGCGUUACUCGGAAUUAUUGGGCAUAAAGAGUAUGUAGGCGGCGAUUUAAGUCAGGUAUUAAAGACUUAAGCUCAACUUAAGUAUGUAUUUGAAACUGAAUUGCUAGAGGUCAGAAGAGGGAAGCGGAAUUUACGGUGUAGCGGUGGAAUGCGUAGAUAUCGUAAAGAACACCAGUUGCGAAGGCGGCUUCCUGGUCUGACUCUGACGCUCAAGUACGAAAGCAUGGGGAGCAAACGGGAUUAGAUACUCCGGUAGUCCAUGCUGUAAACGUUGUUCACUAGGUGUAGGAAGUAUCGACCCUUUCUGUACUACAGAUAAUUCGUUAAGUGAACCGCCUGAGGAGUACGAUCGCAAGAUUAAAACUCAAAGGAAUUGACGGGGACCCGCACAAGCAGUGGAGCAUGUGGUUUAAUUCGACGAUACACGAAGAACCUUACCAGGGCUUGACAUCUGUGGAAUCUCUUGGAAACAAGAGAGUGCCGGAAACGGAGCCACAAGACAGGUGGUGCAUGGCUGUCGUCAGCUCGUGUCGUGAGAUGUUAGGUUAAGUCCUGCAACGAGCGCAACCCCUAUCCUGUGUUGCCAGCACUUACGGUGGGAACUCACGGGAGACUGCCUGUGUAAAGCAGGAGGAAGGUGGGGAUGACGUCAAGUCAUCAUGCCCCUUACGCCCUGGGCUACACACAUGCUACAAUGGUCGAUACAAAGAGUUGCGAAACCGCGAGGUGAAGCUAAUCUCAAAAAAUCGGUCUAAGUACGGAUUGUAGUCUGCAACUCGACUACAUGAAGCUGGAAUUGCUAGUAAACGCAUAUCAGACAUGUUGCGUUGAAUACGUUCUCGGGUCUUGUACACACCGCCCGUCACACCAUGAAAGUUAAAAACACCCAAAGACAAUGUCCUAACCCUUUUUGGGAAGUAGUUGUUUAAGGUGGGUUUAGCGAUUGGGGUGAAGUCGAACAAGGUA